This 289-nucleotide ribosomal RNA is filed under the name bacterium. RNAcentral's name for it is "partial 16S ribosomal RNA". It matches the Rfam family "Bacterial small subunit ribosomal RNA", at positions 515 to 803 of the family's 1533-position model. The record is from RNAcentral.
CCGCGGUAAUACGGAAGGUGCGAGCGUUAAUCGGAAUAACUGGGCGUAAAGCGCGCGCAGGUGGUUGAGUCAGCCAGAUGUGAAAGCCCCGGGCUUAACCUGGGAACUGCAUUUGAAACUGCUUAACUAGAGUGCGGUAGAGGGCGGUGGAAUUUCCUGUGUAGCGGUGAAAUGCGUAGAUAUAGGAAGGAACACCAAUGGCGAAGGCGACUGCCUGGACUGAUACUGACACUGAGGUGCGAAAGCGUGGGUAGCAAACAGGAUUAGAUACCCUGGUAGUCCACGCCGU